CCCUAUUCACAUACAAUUUUUUGAAUAAUUUCAACAUUAUCACUAGUUUAAUUAGCUUUAAAAAUUGAAGAUUUUGUUUGGGUGACCCCUACUCAUCAUCUAUUAUUUGACCUUUCGAAAGUUGUUCAAGGAAUAGUCAUUUAAUUUCCUUAAACUACAUGAAAAAAUUUCGUCUUUUUCCUAAAUUUUAUUUCAAUUUUUUGUUCAUUAUGUUUAGGUUUUGGCAUUUUUCUGGGGGCGGCCAUAGACUUCUAGUUAUUGGCUUAACAAAACUUAGUAGCUUAAUUAAGUGAAAUUUUUAUAUUUUGUAUUGGAAAAUCUACUUAAUUAUGUAUAAUUAAUUUAUUUAGAGCGCAAUUAACUAUCAUCUUUAGAACACAAAACUCAUAAUCUUGCACUUUAAACUUGGAACUCUUGUGAAACAAACAUUCAAUUAAGUAAUUUGGAUGGUAAUAAGUCAACCGAAAAAGCAUAGAGAUUCGGUUGGUUAGUAUUUUUAAUUUUAACUAUUCGGUGUUCAAUAUUUUUAUUAGAAUUUAACUAAAUUUAGUUUUACAAGGUAAAGUCUCAUAUCAGAAUGCGACUUUGUAUAGUAUUCAAUAAGUCUCAAACUCAAGACCUCUGAUUAAAAAUAAAAGAGUACUUAUCAUACGAAAUUAUCUUUACAUUUUAGCAAAAAGACCAAUCAUAAAUACAUGGAGCUGAAAUAUGAAAUAUAUUUUUUAAAAAGUAGCUAGCUAGAUAGCUUUCAAUGAUCACUUAAUUAAUCACUACAAAAGGACCUACUAGUAACUGAUAAUGAAGUUUUACAACAUGUAUAAACAGACUUAAUUUUGACAAAUUAAUUAAUACUUCCUGGCCUCUAAAUUUUUAGUCCAAAAAGCCUUUGAUGAAGAAUAUUGACAGAUAUCUGAGAAGUGAGCACUUUAUCCUUUAAGCACUUUGACUGAAUUUCUAACCUGCAAUACCAAAAUAUUACAACUUUUAAUUUCAUGAUGUUUGAUAUAUAAAUAUACUAUUCUUUUCGUUUUAUUUAUACGAUACCAUUUAAAUUGAUUGUGCACAGAGUUAAAAGAAAAAAGGAAAGAUUUUGAACACAACCAAGAGGAAAAUUACGUGCUUUUCAAAUUUAUUAUCUUAAAAAUAAUCGAUAAUCACAUUUUAAUGACUAUAAAAGAAUGUCGUUACGGGUAAAUUAUACAAAUAAUAAGUGUAGACUAUGUACUUGUAUAUAUGUAUAUGUAUCAAUAUUGUACCUGUAUCAAACACCCAGAGUAGUAAUCCAAAUAACAUUGCUUUAGUUCCCAAAUAGCUUUCUCCCUUCUUUGACAAACCAAGAAUAUGCUAAAUGUUUUGCCUAACAUGUUUAUAUAGAGAUAAAAAUACCUAGACUAGCUCUUAAAUAAUUUAAUAUCAUAUGCUGAGAUCAUCAUCCUCUUGACCACUUACC
Molecule: long non-coding RNA, 1450 nt
Filed under: Solanum lycopersicum (tomato)
Lineage: Eukaryota; Viridiplantae; Streptophyta; Magnoliopsida; Solanales; Solanaceae
Description: long non-coding RNA (SLYC_LNC000080)
Source: RNAcentral